AUGCUCUGAUUUGCUUAUUGCACCACAUGUGUUUUUCUUUGAAACAAACUUGCUUUGGCGGUGGGCCCAGCCUGCCGCCAGAGGUCUAAACUUACAACCAAUUUUUUAUUAACUUGUCACACCAGAUUAUUACUAAAUAGUCAAAACUUUCAACAACGGAUCUCUUGGUUCUCGCAUCGAUGAAGAACGCAGCGAAAUGCGAUACGUAAUAUGAAUUGCAGAUAUUCGUGAAUCAUCGAAUCUUUGAACGCACAUUGCGCCCUCUGGUAUUCCGGAGGGCAUGCCUGUUUGAGCGUCGUUUCUCCCUCAAACCGCUGGGUUUGGUGUUGAGCAAUACGACUUGGGUUUGCUUGAAAGACGGUAGUGGUAAGGCGGGAUCGCUUUGACAAUGGCUUAGGUCUAACCAAAAACAUUGCUUGCGGCGGUAACGUCUACCACGUAUAUCUUCAAACUUUGACCUCAAAUCAGGUAGGACUACCCGCUGAACUUAAGCAUAUCAAUAAGGCGGAGGAA
Molecule: ribosomal RNA, 513 nt
Filed under: Candida albicans
Lineage: Eukaryota; Fungi; Ascomycota; Pichiomycetes; Serinales; Debaryomycetaceae
Description: eukaryotic LSU rRNA
Rfam family: 5.8S ribosomal RNA (bases 145-298)
Source: RNAcentral